GAGUGGGGAGGAGAGAGGGACAGAGAGCCUGCUUGCUUUAAAGGAGCCAACCGGCUCCUUUAACAAGUGUAAGCGGCUCCUCUCCUGCUUUGCUCCUUUAAAGCAAGCAGGCUUUCUGUCCCUCUCUCCUCCCCACUCA
Podarcis lilfordi (Lilford's wall lizard) is the source of this 139-nucleotide non-coding RNA. The record is from the annotation of a GenBank genome assembly. Lineage: Eukaryota; Metazoa; Chordata; Lepidosauria; Squamata; Lacertidae.